Molecule: ribosomal RNA, 253 nt
Filed under: uncultured bacterium
Lineage: Bacteria
Description: partial 16S ribosomal RNA
Rfam family: Bacterial small subunit ribosomal RNA
Source: RNAcentral
UACGUAGGUGGCAAGCGUUGUCCGGAUUUAUUGGGUUUAAAGGGUGCGUAGGCGGUCUUAUAAGUCAGUGCUGAAAUAUCCCGGCUUAACCGGGAGGGUGGCAUUGAUACUGUAGGACUUGAGUAAAGUUGAGGUAGGCGGAAUUGACGGUGUAGCGGUGAAAUGCUUAGAUAUCGUCAAGAACACCGAUAGUGUAGACAGCUUACUAAGCUUUAACUGACGCUGAGGCACGAAAGUGUGGGGAUCAAACAGG